GGUGGAAUUGCUGGGUCAUAUUGUAAGUCUAUACUUAACCCUUUGAGGACUUGCCAAAUUGUUUUCCAAGCAACUAUACCAUUUCACAUUCCCACUGGCAAA
Molecule: microRNA precursor, 102 nt
Filed under: Marmota monax (woodchuck)
Lineage: Eukaryota; Metazoa; Chordata; Mammalia; Rodentia; Sciuridae
Source: RNAcentral